RNAcentral lists this ribosomal RNA (2902 nucleotides) under Escherichia coli. Its description in RNAcentral is "bacterial LSU rRNA". Lineage: Bacteria; Pseudomonadati; Pseudomonadota; Gammaproteobacteria; Enterobacterales; Enterobacteriaceae. The record is from RNAcentral.
UUAAGCGACUAAGCGUACACGGUGGAUGCCCUGGCAGUCAGAGGCGAUGAAGGACGUGCUAAUCUGCGAUAAGCGUCGGUAAGGUGAUAUGAACCGUUAUAACCGGCGAUUUCCGAAUGGGGAAACCCAGUGUGUUUCGACACACUAUCAUUAACUGAAUCCAUAGGUUAAUGAGGCGAACCGGGGGAACUGAAACAUCUAAGUACCCCGAGGAAAAGAAAUCAACCGAGAUUCCCCCAGUAGCGGCGAGCGAACGGGGAGCAGCCCAGAGCCUGAAUCAGUGUGUGUGUUAGUGGAAGCGUCUGGAAAGGCGCGCGAUACAGGGUGACAGCCCCGUACACAAAAAUGCACAUGCUGUGAGCUCGAUGAGUAGGGCGGGACACGUGGUAUCCUGUCUGAAUAUGGGGGGACCAUCCUCCAAGGCUAAAUACUCCUGACUGACCGAUAGUGAACCAGUACCGUGAGGGAAAGGCGAAAAGAACCCCGGYGAGGGGAGUGAAAAAGAACCUGAAACCGUGUACGUACAAGCAGUGGGAGCACGCUUAGGCGUGUGACUGCGUACCUUUUGUAUAAUGGGUCAGCGACUUAUAUUCUGUAGCAAGGUUAACCGAAUAGGGGAGCCGAAGGGAAACCGAGUCUUAACUGGGCGUUAAGUUGCAGGGUAUAGACCCGAAACCCGGUGAUCUAGCCAUGGGCAGGUUGAAGGUUGGGUAACACUAACUGGAGGACCGAACCGACUAAUGUUGAAAAAUUAGCGGAUGACUUGUGGCUGGGGGUGAAAGGCCAAUCAAACCGGGAGAUAGCUGGUUCUCCCCGAAAGCUAUUUAGGUAGCGCCUCGUGAAUUCAUCUCCGGGGGUAGAGCACUGUUUCGGCAAGGGGGUCAUCCCGACUUACCAACCCGAUGCAAACUGCGAAUACCGGAGAAUGUUAUCACGGGAGACACACGGCGGGUGCUAACGUCCGUCGUGAAGAGGGAAACAACCCAGACCGCCAGCUAAGGUCCCAAAGUCAUGGUUAAGUGGGAAACGAUGUGGGAAGGCCCAGACAGCCAGGAUGUUGGCUUAGAAGCAGCCAUCAUUUAAAGAAAGCGUAAUAGCUCACUGGUCGAGUCGGCCUGCGCGGAAGAUGUAACGGGGCUAAACCAUGCACCGAAGCUGCGGCAGCGACGCUGAUGCGUUGUUGGGUAGGGGAGCGUUCUGUAAGCCUGUGAAGGUGUGCUGUGAGGCAUGCUGGAGGUAUCAGAAGUGCGAAUGCUGACAUAAGUAACGAUAAAGCGGGUGAAAAGCCCGCUCGCCGGAAGACCAAGGGUUCCUGUCCAACGUUAAUCGGGGCAGGGUGAGUCGACCCCUAAGGCGAGGCCGAAAGGCGUAGUCGAUGGGAAACAGGUUAAUAUUCCUGUACUUGGURUUACUGCGAAGGGGGGACGGAGAAGGCUAUGUUGGCCGGGCGACGGUUGUCCCGGUUUAAGCGUGUAGGCUGGUUUUCCAGGCAAAUCCGGAAAAUCAAGGCUGAGGCGUGAUGACGAGGCACUACGGUGCUGAAGCAACAAAUGCCCUGCUUCCAGGAAAAGCCUCUAAGCAUCAGGUAACAUCAAAUCGUACCCCAAACCGACACAGGUGGUCAGGUAGAGAAUACCAAGGCGCUUGAGAGAACUCGGGUGAAGGAACUAGGCAAAAUGGUGCCGUAACUUCGGGAGAAGGCACGCUGAUAUGUAGGUGAAGUCCCUCGCGGAUGGAGCUGAAAUCAGUCGAAGAUACCAGCUGGCUGCAACUGUUUAUUAAAAACACAGCACUGUGCAAACACGAAAGUGGACGUAUACGGUGUGACGCCUGCCCGGUGCCGGAAGGUUAAUUGAUGGGGUYAGCGCAAGCGAAGCUCUUGAUCGAAGCCCCGGUAAACGGCGGCCGUAACUAUAACGGUCCUAAGGUAGCGAAAUUCCUUGUCGGGUAAGUUCCGACCUGCACGAAUGGCGUAAUGAUGGCCAGGCUGUCUCCACCCGAGACUCAGUGAAAUUGAACUCGCUGUGAAGAUGCAGUGUACCCGCGGCAAGACGGAAAGACCCCGUGAACCUUUACUAUAGCUUGACACUGAACAUUGAGCCUUGAUGUGUAGGAUAGGUGGGAGGCUUWGAAGUGUGGACGCCAGUCUGCAUGGAGCCGACCUUGAAAUACCACCCUUUAAUGUUUGAUGUUCUAACGUUGACCCGUAAUCCGGGUUGCGGACAGUGUCUGGUGGGUAGUUUGACUGGGGCGGUCUCCUCCUAAAGAGUAACGGAGGAGCACGAAGGUUGGCUAAUCCUGGUCGGACAUCAGGAGGUUAGUGCAAUGGCAUAAGCCAGCUUGACUGCGAGCGUGACGGCGCGAGCAGGUGCGAAAGCAGGUCAUAGUGAUCCGGUGGUUCUGAAUGGAAGGGCCAUCGCUCAACGGAUAAAAGGUACUCCGGGGAUAACAGGCUGAUACCGCCCAAGAGUUCAUAUCGACGGCGGUGUUUGGCACCUCGAUGUCGGCUCAUCACAUCCUGGGGCUGAAGUAGGUCCCAAGGGUAUGGCUGUUCGCCAUUUAAAGUGGUACGCGAGCUGGGUUUAGAACGUCGUGAGACAGUUCGGUCCCUAUCUGCCGUGGGCGCUGGAGAACUGAGGGGGGCUGCUCCUAGUACGAGAGGACCGGAGUGGACGCAUCACUGGUGUUCGGGUUGUCAUGCCAAUGGCACUGCCCGGUAGCUAAAUGCGGAAGAGAUAAGUGCUGAAAGCAUCUAAGCACGAAACUUGCCCCGAGAUGAGUUCUCCCUGACCCUUUAAGGGUCCUGAAGGAACGUUGAAGACGACGACGUUGAUAGGCCGGGUGUGUAAGCGCAGCGAUGCGUUGAGCUAACCGGUACUAAUGAACCGUGAGGCUUAACCUU